AGAACAAGCCUGGACCUUUCCUUGGUUCUACUUCGGCUCCGUAACUAUCUUUUUUCCUCUCCUAUCGCUUGACUAAGAUCGAUCUAAUGUGUACUGUUUCCAUGUCUGGGACAGGAGGAGGAAGGAAGAUGAAGCGACACCUAACAGUGGAAGUUGGCCUCCAGAACGAAGAAGGAGAUGGUGGGUUGCAGAAGCUCACGAUGCCUGUAACUUAUAUUAAUCAUCCAUACUUUGCUGGUCUUCUCGACAGGGCCAAGAAGGUCUACGGCUACCGCUCCGGUGCCCCAGUUCCACUGAAGCUUCCUUGCACGGUGGAGGAGUUCAUCCAUGUCAAGUCGCUCGUCGAGCGCGAGUCCAGUGGCAGUCAGUAGUCCUUCUCCUUGUCUCCUUGCCUUGGACAUAAAAAUGGGCAUAUGUUAGCUGGAAUCAUCAUUUCCAUAGCUCAGAUGCAGUCAUGAGGUCUGCCAGUAUGUGUGAGCUGGAUGCAUCAGUUCUGCUACAUCUGUGAUCUCCCCAUUGGACUCCUGGAAGAAACUGUACCUGACUCCCAAGAAUUCCUCCACCUUGUCACCAAAACAUGGCUUGCCUCUAUUUAUACAAUUGUGAAGCCCAAUGACACCACCAAAGAUAGAUAGUCUAUGAGAAUGGAUAGGAUUUAGUAGAAGAAUACCCUAAGCUACAUAAAAAUCUGAUUGUGAUCUAUCUAUCUAUCUAUCUAUCUAUCUAUCUAUCUAUACAUCUGCUACAAUGGCCUACGUGAAUAAAACACAUGGUGUGUGCCAUGUGACAGACAGGUAUGGAGUCAACGACAUCAUUGGCUCUUGGAAUCCUACAAGCAGCAAUGUUCAGACGGGAGCGUUGGUGGUAGAUCUUUGCAUGGGUAGUUAAGCUAUCACCAAACCUGCAACAAUGUAAACGGGAAACGCGCGCCUCUCAACGUGAGGUCACAAACCUUCUCCAUGCACCCAAAGUAACGCAAACCUUCUCCAUGUAUUUUAUUCAUANNNNNNNNNNNNNNNNNNNNCUAGAUAGAUAGAUAUAUGGGAGAAAAAGUAGUUAGUUCAUCUGUCUGCAAGUCUGUCUAAAACUAAGGCUUUGUUUGUUUGAACAGAGAAAGAAAGAUCUACUAAACCAUGGAGAAGGUUUGCGUUACUUUGGGUUCAUGGAGAAGGUUUGUGACCUCACGUUGAGAGGCGCGCGUUUCCCGUUUACAUUGUUGCAGGUUUGGUGAAACAUUGGGGUUUCAACACUUGCUCUAAAUUCUCUUGACUUUUCUGAUCACAAGAUCGAGAAGGAAACAAAGAAGCAGACCUCUUAAUAGUUCAAGAUACAAUUGCCAAGAUAUAAAUAGGAAAAGAAAAGAAAACACUGCAAUCUCAGAUGACACAUCAAGAAAGUUUUCCUAAAUUAAUGUUACUAGAUUGUUUGGGGAAGGAGGAUAAUCUAUGACAUAAGAACCACACACAAUUAGGAAUAAAGAACCUUUUCCCUUCUCUCAGGUUUCCCAACUGAUAUGCCCAACUCUCUGGGAAUUCCUAUCUGCUAUGCUUGAUUAUGAAGUUGAUGUCAUGUCUAGAGAGGAGCAUUUGCAUGACCUGCAAGCUACCUAACCUUUUUAUUUUUAUUAUAUCAAGCAGUAGUGCUUCUUUCUUUAGUGCCCAACUCCUGGCUUUUGUUUCCUUUGAAAUUAAAGAAAAAGAAAACCAUUUUUAAUAGUACGCACACAUGUUUUGCAUGUUCAUAAGUUUUGCCAUCUCAUGCCAACUAAGAUUGACAAUUAGAACUGUUGAAUAGAUCGGUUAGACUAAAUCUAAUUUGUGUGACUAAGAAAUCAGACCGAUCUAAUCAUUCUCACAAUCGGUCUAGAAAGUCAAUUAAUAUAUUAUUAUACAAUUGGGUCGUAGUCAAUCCUCAUCAUCCAGCAUCUAAUAAUAAUUAUUAUUUGUUUUAUAUAUUUGGAUGAUAUUACUUUGAAUGAAUGAUUGGGGUUUGAGUCGGUAUCAAUUCAUUUCACAUGUCCUCGGCAAAUCAUUCAACGUACUGAUGGAAUUAUGGCUGGGCCGUCUUACUUGAUGGCCUAAUGGGCCUUCUUUUAGGCUUGAUAUUACCAUUUCACUAAGUCAUGCUACGACCUCGAGAGUCGCAAAAACCUUCGAAUCCAUCGGGGCAUGCCACGUGAGGACGAACUGACGACUUCUACCCUAGAACUCUCGGAGGUCGACUCGUUGACCUCAAGAGGGGACCGGUUUGAGGAAGAUGAAGAAGACCAAGACAUCACGACCUUAAGUUCGAUGACCAAAAGGGAUAGUCCGAGGUGUAAAACAGGAAUGCAGAGGCUGAGUGAUACCCCAUCGUCACAUAGAAAGGGGUUUAUAAGGAGGAAGCCCAUCACCACAAGGUGACGUUUGGCCUCCCCUAGGUAAGAAAUAGUGGCGGCAUUUAAUGAUAGCAUAUCCUACUAUAUUUGCCAACCUCUAUCGCCCGAAAACUCUCGCCAAAACCCAUGAUGCAUCGUCAAAGGUUUCCCACCAAAGGCUACGAUGCGUCAUCUUUGGUUAAAUUAGCGAGCAGCAUCUCGAUGAACUAGUCUAGCUUGUGCCCAAGUUGGGUACCUCGGUUAGCAGAUCCAGUCCUUACUUGAGUCGUGCAUCUCGGCCAUCAUCGCUCAAGCAGCAUCUCAACGAACCAAUUCAGCCUAUGCCCAAGUUGGGUAACUUGGUCAGUAAGUCUAGUCCCUGCCCGAGUUGUGCAUCUCGGCCAAUCAUCGCUCGAGCAGCGUCUCAAUAAACCAGUUCAACCUAUGCCCAAGUUGGGUACAUAGGUCAGUAGGACCAGUCCUUUCCCGAGUCGUGCAUCUCGGCCAAUCAUUGCUUGAGCAACGGCUCGACAAACCAGUCCAACCUGUGCCCAAGUUGGGUACCUUGGUCAACAAGUCCAAUCCCUACCUGAGUUGUGUACCUCGGCCAAUCAUCACUCAAGCAGCAUUUCGACGAACCUCCUCCCCAAUCUCAACGCAAUGAAUGACCCAAUUGACAGAAGGGACCGGGGUAGAGAGAAUGAUAGGAUAUAUUCUGGCAUCAUCACAUGGACGCGGUUAGCUACCAUGAUAGCACAAAUAUGAAGCUUCGAGACUGAGAUAGAGCAUCGUGUCAGAUGCCCCACCUUAGAUUCAGGAGAACAGCGACCCCUUCUCGCGCCAUCUGAAAUUAUACAAGGCAAUCACUCCGAAAAGCCAGGAGUGAUGCCGCCUUCCCCUGUCAUCCGAAGUUGUACAAGGCAACACUAUGUGGAAUGGAGCUGCUCUGGGAAGCUUGGAGCAGCGCUUUGCGGUGCCAUUCCGUACAGGGUAACCGGUGCUCGCGCACUGGUACAAGUCGACCGCCUAAAGAGCUGGUCGCCAUCAUCCGAUCAAGUACGGUCAACCCCCGCUUGAUGGUAUAAAGUCUACUAAUCCUCAUCAAGUAAAAAACGAUAGAUUCUAAGAACUCCAUUCAACACUAACUUAAACUUCGGAUGGUCGAGUCGGAAAAUCUCCCUCUCGCCCUUGACCUAUAUGUAGGAACUCGACAACGAAACAACAGUAACCCGACCCGACGUCGAAGUGACCUGAGCAUCCGUGUGGACAUUUCUGACAUCUCGAUCAUGACGUAAACGUUCACCAACAAAUAAUAUUUUCAGUGUAUUGCAUGGAGAGAUCAGCUGUGAUCAUUUCUGAUGUGCUUCAUUAGGUAAGAUGUUACCCUAUAUGAAGAGAGGGAAAGGUCAACAAGGAUGCAUAUGCAUGCAUCUUGCAUCCCUUUCGUUCAACACCCGACAUUGAAUGGCAAACACUGUUCACUUUGGCCAAUCUUCUGCUGCAUGCACUGAGAAUGAUUUAGUGAGGGUGUCUUCAGGAUUUGUAACUCUGCACCUACGAUUCUACGUUAAAUCAAAUUCAUCCCACAUGGAAACCACCAUCAGAUCAUUCUCCCUAUUACAAGCCCUUCAAUUGACCUUCUUGGGAACCCAAGAACAAGCCUGGACCUUUCCUUGGUUCUACUUCGGCUCCGGAACUAUCUUUUUUCCUCUCCUAUCGCUUGACUAAGAUCGAUCUAAUGUGUACUGUUUCCAUGUCUGGGACAGGAGGAGGAACGAAGAUGAAGGGACACCUAACAGUGGAAGUUGGCCUCCAGAACGAAGAAGGAGAUGGUGGGUUGCAGAAGCUCACGAUGCCUG
RNAcentral lists this long non-coding RNA (4215 nucleotides) under Musa acuminata (dwarf banana). RNAcentral describes it as "long non-coding RNA (MACU_LNC003031)". Lineage: Eukaryota; Viridiplantae; Streptophyta; Magnoliopsida; Zingiberales; Musaceae. The record is from RNAcentral.